UGAAUUUUAGAAAACCAUCUCACAUGACUCUCUCUCUAAAAUUUGUGUCGUUCACGUGUAGCGUUCGUUGCCAGUAAUCUCCAACCAUCGCCACGGUCUCACUCGCCGCCGCCAACAUCGCCGUUACGAUGGUUUUGUGUUUUGGAGGCCAUUAGUGUGUUGAUCAGCAAAGUUAAGGUGGUUUUUUUACCAGAUUUAUGGUAAAGACAAGGAAUGUACUAGGUGCUUGGCGAGGAGAUCUAUUGAAGGUUACAUAUAGGAAGAGUGUUGAAGCUUCCGCUCAAUAUCACAUUUUAAAGAAAUUU
Benincasa hispida (wax gourd) is the source of this 305-nucleotide long non-coding RNA. RefSeq lists it as uncharacterized. NCBI's taxonomy places the organism in Eukaryota, Viridiplantae, Streptophyta, Magnoliopsida, Cucurbitales, Cucurbitaceae. The record is from RefSeq and is a predicted model, not a curated record.